This 210-nucleotide unclassified non-coding RNA is filed under the name Hevea brasiliensis (rubber tree). The record is from RNAcentral. Lineage: Eukaryota; Viridiplantae; Streptophyta; Magnoliopsida; Malpighiales; Euphorbiaceae.
AUUUAAUCAAAUAGUAAUCCUAAAAAAUGGUUAAAGGUCGGUCAAAAUUGGGUGUCAACAUGGAUUAGGUGGAAUUCCCCAUCAUGAUGGAAGAAUAUUGGUUUUGAGACGAUAUGUAAAGGUUUUUAGAGCUAAUGGAUAAUGAUCGGAGUUAUUGCUAGUUGGGGAAACUUAUCCCCCUUGCACCUUUCUUUUUGACUUAAAAUCAGG